RNAcentral lists this ribosomal RNA (167 nucleotides) under Antrodia sp. RNAcentral describes it as "partial large subunit ribosomal RNA". It matches the Rfam family "Eukaryotic large subunit ribosomal RNA", at positions 99 to 261 of the family's 3401-position model. The record is from RNAcentral. Lineage: Eukaryota; Fungi; Basidiomycota; Agaricomycetes; Polyporales; Fomitopsidaceae.
CGGCAACAGCUCAAAUUUGAAAUCUGGCCCUCUCAGGGUCCGAGUUGUAAUCUAGAGAAGUGUUAUCUGUGCCGGACCGCAUGUAAGUCUCCUGGAACGGAGCGUCAUAGAGGGUGAGAAUCCCGUCUGUAAUGCGGACUCCCGGUGCUCUACGAUGCGCUCUCAAA